This 423-nucleotide ribosomal RNA is filed under the name bacterium CPTAC82. Its description in RNAcentral is "bacterial SSU rRNA". It matches the Rfam family "Bacterial small subunit ribosomal RNA", at positions 977 to 1394 of the family's 1533-position model. The record is from RNAcentral.
CAGCUUGCUACACCGGAACAUCCAGAGAUGGGUGUCCCCCUUGUGGUACGGAUGUACAGGUGGUUGCAUGGCUGUCGUCAGCUCGUGUCGUGAGAUGUUGGGUUAAGUCCCGCAACGAGCGCAACCCUUGUCCCGUGUUGCCAGCAGGCCCUUGUGGUGCUGGGGACUCACGGGAGACCGCCGGGGUCAACUCGGAGGAAGGUGGGGACGACGUCAAGUCAUCAUGCCCCUUAUGUCUUGGGCUGCACACGUGCUACAAUGGCCGGUACAAUGAGCUGCGAUACCGUGAGGUGGAGCGAAUCUCAAAAAGCCGGUCUCAGUUCGGAUUGGGGUCUGCAACUCGACCCCAUGAAGUCGGAGUCGCUAGUAAUCGCAGAUCAGCAUUGCUGCGGUGAAUACGUUCCCGGGUCUUGUACACACGCA